AUUGAACGCUGGCGGCAUGCCUUACACAUGCAAGUCGAACGGUAACAGGUCUUCGGAUGCUGACGAGUGGCGAACGGGUGAGUAAUACAUCGGAACGUGCCCGAUCGUGGGGGAUAACGAGGCGAAAGCUUUGCUAAUACCGCAUACGAUCUACGGAUGAAAGCGGGGGAUCUUCGGACCUCGCGCGGACGGAGCGGCCGAUGGCAGAUUAGGUAGUUGGUGGGAUAAAAGCUUACCAAGCCGACGAUCUGUAGCUGGGCUGAGAGGAUGAUCAGCCACACGGGAAAGGGGACACGCCCAAGACUCGCAGGGGAGGCAGGAGGGGGAAAUUUGGGAAAGGGGGAGAAACCGUGACCCAGCCAUGCCGCGGGAAGAAUAAGGGCCUUGGGUUUGUAAAUUUCUUUUAACGGGAAAAAAAACCCUUUUUAAAAAAAAGGGGGGGCAGGAGGGAACGAAAAGAAAAACCCCCGGCAAACUACGUG
This 482-nucleotide ribosomal RNA is filed under the name uncultured bacterium. RNAcentral's name for it is "partial 16S ribosomal RNA". It matches the Rfam family "Bacterial small subunit ribosomal RNA", at positions 29 to 507 of the family's 1533-position model. The record is from RNAcentral.